RNAcentral lists this ribosomal RNA (468 nucleotides) under uncultured bacterium. RNAcentral's name for it is "partial 16S ribosomal RNA". It matches the Rfam family "Bacterial small subunit ribosomal RNA", at positions 28 to 507 of the family's 1533-position model. The record is from RNAcentral.
GACGAACGCUGGCGGCGUGCUUAACACAUGCAAGUCGAACGGAAAGGCCCUGCUUUUGUGUGGUGCUCGAGUGGCGAACGGGUGAGUAACACGUGAGUAACCUGCCCUUGACUUUGGGAUAACUUCAGGAAACUGGGGCUAAUACCGGAUAGGAGCUCCUGCUGCAUGGUGGGGGUUGGAAAGUUUCGGCGGUUGGGGAUGGACUCGCGGCUUAUCAGCUUGUUGGUGGGGUAGUGGCUUACCAAGGCUUUGACGGGUAGCCGGCCUGAGAGGGUGACCGGCCACAUUGGGACUGAGAUACGGCCCAGACUCCUACGGGAGGCAGCAGUGGGGAAUAUUGCACAAUGGGCGGAAGCCUGAUGCAGCAACGCCGCGUGCGGGAUGACGGCCUUCGGGUUGUAAACCGCUUUCGCAUGUGACGAAGCGUGAGUGACGGUAAUGGGUAAAGAAGCACCGGCUAACUACGUG